GUUCUUGUAGUUGAAAGUACAACGAUGGUUUUUCAGGCCGUAUGUCCUAGUUAGUAGCUAGGUAAGAACU
Molecule: transfer RNA, 70 nt
Filed under: Scytalopus superciliaris
Lineage: Eukaryota; Metazoa; Chordata; Aves; Passeriformes; Rhinocryptidae
Description: tRNA-Glu
Rfam family: tRNA
About the family: Transfer RNA (tRNA) molecules are approximately 80 nucleotides in length. Their secondary structure includes four short double-helical elements and three loops (D, anti-codon, and T loops). Further hydrogen bonds mediate the characteristic L-shaped molecular structure. tRNAs have two regions of fundamental functional importance: the anti-codon, which is responsible for specific mRNA codon recognition, and the 3' end, to which the tRNAs corresponding amino acid is attached (by aminoacyl-tRNA synthetases). tRNAs cope with the degeneracy of the genetic code in two manners: having more than one tRNA (with a specific anti-codon) for a particular amino acid; and 'wobble' base-pairing, i.e. permitting non-standard base-pairing at the 3rd anti-codon position.
Source: RNAcentral